This is a long non-coding RNA of Manis javanica (Malayan pangolin), 2137 nucleotides long. RefSeq lists it as uncharacterized. The record is from RefSeq and is a predicted model, not a curated record. NCBI's taxonomy places the organism in Eukaryota, Metazoa, Chordata, Mammalia, Pholidota, Manidae.
GGUGGGAGGGAGGCCGGCUUUUGAGCUGUUGAGAGCCUUGGGCUGUCCCCUCCUAUGGACAUGCAAUCAGGCCCAGGGCCACCAGACUUGACACUGCAGACAGAGAUAAUAGAGCCAGGUGCUGGAGUACUGAAAGGUGAGGAGUAGUAGAGAGGGAAGGCUGAGGCCAGGUGGUGAGUCAUGUGACUGACUGCUCUGCUGGGAAGUGGGCACCUGGACCCCGCCCACAACGUCCCACAACACUUGGUCGAGCUGGCCAAUGGUCCGCCGGCCAAUGGUCCCCCGCCCCACGGACCCGUCUGCAAAGUGUGUGUGGGUGCGGGAGAGGUCGCCAUGGGCCAGGGAAGCUUUGGGGGUGAGAAGACAAGCACUCGGUACUCGAAGCCGCGUGCAGGCCCACAGACCUUCCUAGUUUCCACCCCAGGGGCAGGCCGGCACCCGGCGAUACAGGGGCUACGAGGAGCGGCCAUACUUACACCACCAGGCGACAGAUCAUCCAGGACACCAUCCUGCAGCCUCCGCGCGAACAGGAAACUUCCCCAGGAAGACGCUCAGAGAGUCGCUCACGCUGGGACUGGGGUACCAGUGAAGGUGCGGGGACACAGAGGCGCUCGGGCUACCCCUUGCCCACUGGCCCCCGACUCCGCGGUGCGCCAAGCCUAAAGGACCGAGAGUCCCAACCGGCUAGGGGGAGGAGCCCACUCGGGGCCGCACCACGGGCGCCCCCCGCCGCCCCCCGGCGCCGCGCGGUCACUCAAGGCUCCGGCCCCCACUUCCUGCCACGGGUCGCCUAGCGUUCGGCCCUUGCCGGGGAUGACGGGUCGCGGCCUCUGCUCGCUCCGGUGCCCGCGGUCCCAGUGCUCUGGGCCACCGGCCUGGCCUCGGGGCGGAGUUUACAGCUCACUUAAAAGUUGCACGGAACUGGGCUCUGCCCAACCCCAGGGCUCCGGCAGGCGGCGCAAGCGCAGUGCGGCCCUGGGGGGCGGGGCUAAGUCUGGGAGGCGAGCGCCUGCCCCUUAAAGAGGUGACGAGCCUCAGCCUCGCGGGUGGGGCCGAUAGGUCCAACAGCCGGGCGUCCAAACUGAAAGACUGGAAGUGGGAAGCGACGAAAAAAACUAGGAGGAAGGAAACAAAGGCAAUCUGGAUCCCAGGGUUUUCUUCACAGGCUUUCCCCUUCUGCCUCGUUUUCUUCUGUAAAAUAGGAAAGGACGUGAGAUGGGGGGUGGUUCCCCUUUGGAGGCUCAGGCACAAACUAGAAGCAGGCUUGGCGAGAGCCGGCCCGUAGGAACAGGAGACCAGCGCCCCGAAGAGUCCGAGCUGGCCAGAGGGGAAAAAAGGGAGGAAGCAGGUAGAAGGCAACUGAGGGCCUCACCGCCCAGACGAGUGGACUUCAGGAAGUGACCGCUUCCUUGGGCUGCAUUUCCAGGAACCACACGCGGCAGGGUGACCCGAGGAUUAGAGAUUCAGGGUAGAGCUCCUCACCGCCAUGCCUCCCCACCGUUUGCCUCACCAGAAGUUUGAAAUUCCACCUAUUCCUGCGAGUCAAGAACAAUAUUCUUGAGAGCUUAAUAUCACCGAUUGCAAUUGCCUUGUUGCCGUGCAUUUUCGUGUCCCGGAUUUUGAUCUUUACAAAGGACCUUUUUUACCAUUUAGGAAAUGCACUGGCCUAGUGAUGAAAAGUAGCUUGCCCACCAUCACCCGGUGGCAUCUGUUGCUGGAGGGUGGAUAAAGGGCUGGCUGCCCCUGGAGGGAGUCUGGGAGUGGAGAAGCUCCCCUGGGAGGAGGGUUGGACGUGGAAGAAUACUGGGGCCUCAAGAGAGAAGGUGAACUUUGCUGCCUCCACAGCUUUUUGUGUAGGGCCCUGUUCUUUGUACGGCUUCUGCUUAAUGUCUCAUUCCUCCCUCUGACAAUGGGGAGCACAGCAUCCCCCCACCCUGAGCACCCUGUGCUUCACAAGUCUGAGGGAAGGAGGCCAGCAGAGCUGCUCUGAGCUGUGGGGGUAGAAAACUCAAGUAGUCAUUACUUUUUAUCAAAGUUAAAACCCACCACUUAUCAAAAGGAUGAAAUAGGUAAUGAUGGGGGCCAAGGAAAGUAGGCUUCUUGGGAAUAAAAACACACGGUGAUUUUAUAGUCUUAA